GGAGGCGUUCAGGCGGCUGGUGCCCCUCCCGGUCUUCAAAACCGGUGUGGCCCGGGAUCCGGGCCAGGCGGGUUCGAUUCCCGUCCGUCUCCGCCA
Molecule: transfer RNA, 96 nt
Filed under: Micromonospora sp. C95
Lineage: Bacteria; Bacillati; Actinomycetota; Actinomycetes; Micromonosporales; Micromonosporaceae
Also listed under: 3 other names
Description: tRNA-Sec
Rfam family: Selenocysteine transfer RNA
Source: RNAcentral